Molecule: non-coding RNA, 103 nt
Organism: Acanthosepion pharaonis
Lineage: Eukaryota; Metazoa; Mollusca; Cephalopoda; Sepiida; Sepiidae
Source: the annotation of a GenBank genome assembly
AUGGCCAUAUCACGUUGAAACAUCGGUUUCCGAACGAUCUCCGAAGUUAAGCUACGUCUAGCCUGGUCAGUACCUAGAUGAGUUACCGCUUGAAAAUACCAGG